CUCAGUAGCUGAGUGGAUAGCGCGAUGGCGUUUGGAGCAGACGGUAACGGGUUCAAGUAUCAGGGCGAACA
Molecule: transfer RNA, 71 nt
Filed under: Schistosoma mansoni
Lineage: Eukaryota; Metazoa; Platyhelminthes; Trematoda; Strigeidida; Schistosomatidae
Source: RNAcentral